GAGCGGAUGACGGGAGCUUGCUCCUUGAUUCAGCGGCGGACGGGUGAGUAAUGCCUAGGAAUCUGCCUGGUAGUGGGGGACAACGUUUCGAAAGGAACGCUAAUACCGCAUACGUCCUACGGGAGAAAGCAGGGGACCUUCGGGCCUUGCGCUAUCAGAUGAGCCUAGGUCGGAUUAGCUAGUUGGUGGGGUAAUGGCUCACCAAGGCGACGAUCCGUAACUGGUCUGAGAGGAUGAUCAGUCACACUGGAACUGAGACACGGUCCAGACUCCUACGGGAGGCAGCAGUGGGGAAUAUUGGACAAUGGGCGAAAGCCUGAUCCAGCCAUGCCGCGUGUGUGAAGAAGGUCUUCGGAUUGUAAAGCACUUUAAGUUGGGAGGAAGGGCAGUAAGUUAAUACCUUGCUGUUUUGACGUUUUCCGACAGAAUAAGCACCGGCUAACUCUGUG
Molecule: ribosomal RNA, 449 nt
Filed under: uncultured bacterium
Lineage: Bacteria
Description: bacterial SSU rRNA
Rfam family: Bacterial small subunit ribosomal RNA
Source: RNAcentral